Molecule: ribosomal RNA, 550 nt
Filed under: uncultured bacterium
Lineage: Bacteria
Description: bacterial SSU rRNA
Rfam family: Bacterial small subunit ribosomal RNA
Source: RNAcentral
UAGGGAAUCUUCGGCAAUGGACGGAAGUCUGACCGAGCAACGCCGCGUGAGUGAAGAAGGUUUUCGGAUCGUAAAGCUCUGUUGUAAGAGAAGAACGAGUGUGAGAGUGGAAAGUUCACACUGUGACGGUAUCUUACCAGAAAGGGACGGCUAACUACGUGCCAGCAGCCGCGGUAAUACGUAGGUCCCGAGCGUUGUCCGGAUUUAUUGGGCGUAAAGCGAGCGCAGGCGGUUAGAUAAGUCUGAAGUUAAAGGCUGUGGCUUAACCAUAGUACGCUUUGGAAACUGUUUAACUUGAGUGCAAGAGGGGAGAGUGGAAUUCCAUGUGUAGCGGUGAAAUGCGUAGAUAUAUGGAGGAACACCGGUGGCGAAAGCGGCUCUCUGGCUUGUAACUGACGCUGAGGCUCGAAAGCGUGGGGAGCAACCAGGAUUAGAUACCCUGGUAGUCCACGCCGUAAACGAUGAGUGCUAGGUGUUAGACCCUUUCCGGGGUUUAGUGCCGUAGCUAACGCAUUAAGCACUCCGCCUGGGGAGUACGACCGCAAGGUUG